GCUAUAGGACAAGCCCAAAGCGAUGAGUCUAACGAUUCAGAGCUUGAAAGCCCUAUUCAAAAACCCUUCAAUAUCAACAGAUUGGGAAUCCAAUCCCCUAGAUUGACCUGGAAUACUCCUAGGAGUACUGCUCCAGAUCUAGGAAUUGAGAAUAGGAACAACAUCCUAACCCAGUCUAGAUUCAAUGCCUCCUCCGUCUAUGAAUGGAAUAUAGAUGGAAUGUCUGAGUACAAUAUCCUUGGUCUCUUGCAACAGAUGAC
This 260-nucleotide long non-coding RNA is filed under the name Ricinus communis (castor bean). RNAcentral's name for it is "long non-coding RNA (RCOM_LNC000579)". Lineage: Eukaryota; Viridiplantae; Streptophyta; Magnoliopsida; Malpighiales; Euphorbiaceae. The record is from RNAcentral.